Molecule: ribosomal RNA, 175 nt
Filed under: uncultured bacterium
Lineage: Bacteria
Description: partial 16S ribosomal RNA
Rfam family: Bacterial small subunit ribosomal RNA
Source: RNAcentral
CAUGAAGCUGGAUUCGCUAGUAAUCGCGCAUCAGCCACGGCGCGGUGAAUACGUUCCCGGGCCCUUGUACACACCGCCCGUCAAGCCAUGGAAGCCGGGAGUGCCUGAAGUGCGUGACCGCAAGGAGCGUCCUAAGGCAAUACCGGUGACUGGGGCUAAGUCGUAACAAGGUACC